RNAcentral lists this ribosomal RNA (301 nucleotides) under uncultured bacterium. RNAcentral's name for it is "partial 16S ribosomal RNA". It matches the Rfam family "Bacterial small subunit ribosomal RNA", at positions 509 to 807 of the family's 1533-position model. The record is from RNAcentral.
CAGUCGCCGCGGUAAUACGAAGGGGGCUAGCGUUGCUCGGAAUCACUGGGCGUAAAGGGUGCGUAGGCGGGUCUUUAAGUCAGAGGUGAAAUCCUGGAGCUCAACUCCAGAACUGCCUUUGAUACUGAGGAUCUUGAGUUCGGGAGAGGUGAGUGGAACUGCGAGUGUAGAGGUGAAACUCGUAGAUAUUCGCAAGAACACCAGUGGCGAAGGCGGCUCACUGGCCCGAUACUGACGCUGAGGCACGAAAGCGUGGGGAGCAAACAGGAUUAGAUACCCCCGUAGUCCCUGUCUCUUAUAC